UUUAAAAUUUUUGAUUUAAAUCAUAAUUUAAUUGUGUGAUGAAAAUUCCUAAUUAAACAUUUUAAUUAGUCAUAUGAUGAACCUUUCAUCAUGCAACAAUUGCAGAAUUUAAUAACAAUCAUGCGCACCAUGAUCUUCCCAAGCCAUGCGCACCAUGUUGGAGUUCAUCAAGCAUGCCGCCACACCUCUUGAUCCAACCAACAAUGGAUCAAUCAUCUCAUGAUCAAAUCACACAAUUAAAUCAUAUAAUCAACAAUCUAAAUGGCAAAUAUAGUGGCUCUGAUACCAAUUGAAGGAGCGGAAGCAUGAAAAACACAAGUUUAGAUCAUUGAAAUUCAAAAUUUUUCAUCUAGGGUCACAUGCAUCAUGCAAGAUUUAUUUUUAUCUAUUUGAUUUCAAUGAUAAACAACAUAUUAAAACUCUUUUAAUAUGUUUUUGGAUCUGUAUUUGCCAUUUAAGAUUUUAAAAUUAAUCAGAUUAAUUUUAGAACCCUAGAUUAAAUCAAGAACGAUUACACUAACCUCUUGAUGCACUGCAGCGUGUCUGCGCCUUUGAGAUUCGUCUUCAGGACACCAGAUGUUGUCCCUCUAGCUUGUCCACACCAAGAUCACCAAUGGCAGCCCCUUGAACAGCUUCUCAAGCCUUUCCAAUUAAUUAGAAAUUGAGGUUUUGCCUUUUAGAGAGGUUGCAGAUGUAUAUUGGACACUAGAAAUAAUUUCUAGCAAUUUUAAUUCAAAGGGAAUGGAGUGAUUCUCUUUGAAUUGAUGAGAAAAGAUGAAAAUAUGAGAGGGAGAAAGAGGUGCUGCCACCUUGAGGAAGAGGAAGUGUUGUCUUUUGUUCUUCUUUCUUUUUCCUUUUAUAAUUAGGUCAUUAAGUCACUUAAACCCUAUCCACAUAUCACCACCAUAUUGCAUCUUAUUUUUAAUUGACCUAAUCACAUUAAGCCAAGUGUCAAAGCUAGACUUAAUCUUGACUUUGAUCACCUUGCAUGAUAGGAAGACAAAUGGCAAACUUAUAUAGUGCCAUGUGUCACCAUCUCAUGGUGCCACAUGUCACCUUGUGAAAUGACCAAAUUACCCUUGUGUUUUAAUUUUGAUUUCUCAACCCAAAAUAAUUAUUUC
RNAcentral lists this unclassified non-coding RNA (1121 nucleotides) under Hevea brasiliensis (rubber tree). The record is from RNAcentral. Lineage: Eukaryota; Viridiplantae; Streptophyta; Magnoliopsida; Malpighiales; Euphorbiaceae.